UACAGAGGUCCCAAGCGUUGUUCGGAUUCACUGGGCGUAAAGGGUGCGUAGGUGGUCGGGUAAGUCUGAUGUGAAAUCUCCGAGCUUAACUCGGAAACUGCAUCGGAUACUAUUUGGCUAGAGGGUUGGAGGGGGGACUGGAAUACUUGGUGUAGCAGUGAAAUGCGUAGAUAUCAAGUGGAACACCAGUGGCGAAGGCGAGUCCCUGGACAACUCCUGACACUGAGGCACGAAAGCUAGGGGAGCAAACAGG
This 253-nucleotide ribosomal RNA is filed under the name uncultured bacterium. Its description in RNAcentral is "partial 16S ribosomal RNA". It matches the Rfam family "Bacterial small subunit ribosomal RNA", at positions 524 to 776 of the family's 1533-position model. The record is from RNAcentral.